UGUGUAGUGCUUAGCCUCG
Molecule: unclassified non-coding RNA, 19 nt
Filed under: Mus musculus (house mouse)
Lineage: Eukaryota; Metazoa; Chordata; Mammalia; Rodentia; Muridae
Description: oocyte_clustered_small_RNA198
Source: RNAcentral